CCACCCUCCACAACGCCCCGCUGGCUCCCAGCUUGGAGAAGCGGCCCCAGCGGGUUACAGGGUCGCGGUCCACACCGAGGGCGCUCGGCCGCACCCACGGGAGCACGAGAAGGCAGAGGAGCGUGAGAAGCCCACAUGUGAAUCCAAGACGGAAGGUUCCAGAAAGGAUGAGGGACGGGGCCCAGCCGUCAGGACUAAGCAUCCUCCAGCACAGAAGUUUCCAGAAGGAUGAGUAUGUGACAGAGUGUAUUGUGUGCGGGUGCAUGUGGGUAUCACAUGGAUGAGUGUGUGCGUGUGUGUCCAUG
Molecule: long non-coding RNA, 305 nt
Filed under: Vulpes vulpes (red fox)
Lineage: Eukaryota; Metazoa; Chordata; Mammalia; Carnivora; Canidae
Description: lncRNA (ENSVVUG00000008137.1)
Source: RNAcentral